GUGCAUCACGUGCCCGGAAUCACCUGACUAGCAGCGGCUGAUGGUGGGGGGGGAGGAGGAGUCACGAGGAGAUCCGGCCGGGCCGCGCCUCUUGUCGGACUCCGGGCCUUCGCCCUGGGCGCAUCCCUCACGCACCUCGGCCUGCCCUGCGCGCUGCGCUGCUCACCGCUCACCGCCUCCUUCCGGGCUCCGAGAGCACCGCAGGGACGAUGCUUCUGGGCGUCUGGGUCUUCCAUUGUAACUGGGGUCCAGCCUCCAAGACUGCUGUAACCAAAUCUCUCCAGUCUUAAAGGAUAAUUCUAUUACAAGUUGAUCAUGAGUUUAACAUCUGCUUCACAAAAGCUCACCCCAGAUAGAAACGAAAUCUGCAAGGAUACACACCAAAAUGUCGGCCGCGUUUUAGGGUAAGAAGCCCAAUGAAGUGGACGUUCUCAGUCACCCAUUUAUGGAUUUAUUAAUCAAAGAAGUAGUUAUUGACUAUCUUCCACCUGAUGGCAUUAUUCUCACGGUAGACACAGAGCAAUGGACGGAGGAGGAGAGUGUGCACUGCCAGGUGUUCUGCUCAUGUCCUAGAAUUACAGAAAAGAACCAUACCCACUGAGCCAUCUCCCUGGAGGUGGCCUCAGAAUCCUUCUUAACAUAAGGUCCAAUCACAUUCUCCAAGCAAGAUGAAACUCACUUCCUAACCCAGUCCUGGACACCCGAGCCAAAAAAAGACCGAGCCGGGCUGGCUGGCUGGCUGGCCUGAUAUUCAACAUGUAAGUCCUGCUUGCCUUGAUCUUCUUGCCUCUGGCUCACAAGUACUGGAAUGACAGGCACCCAUCACCUUGCCCAGCCUAAGGAUCCCUUCUGAUCUCUUCUGACAUCGUUGACUUGGUCAUCAUUCCUUACCCAGCAUGGACCAGCAUGUAUGAGAUAAACCUCCAGGCCUCUUCCCUCUUAUCAGGGCGGUAAGUAAAGGGACUUUCCAAGAUCCCCGUGUCCAGGGUGAUCCACUGCUUCUGAGGCUUCCACACAGCAUAAUAAAUAAACACGACCAGCUGUCAAGGGGAGCAAUCAUGCCGGUUAAUCAAGCUUCUUCUGGAGGUGAGCCCCAUUCAAACCCCCAGGCAGUAAUUGUGGCUGAGUGAUUAGCUCAGAAGACGUGGGAGUUACAUUUCUCCACCAUCCCCCACAGCGAGGAGCAGUGUUAGGCCAGAUUGUAAGGAAGACUUUCUGAGCCCCCUUCUCCUUGCUUUCCUGACUCUCUGCUGCCUAUUACGUUCUCUAGCACCCUCUCAGAACACAUAACCCGUGUCCCUCACCUUCACUCGGACUCCACAGCUCAGAAACCUUGCAGAUGGUCUAAUGAAAUGAUGAGGAUCAGUGCCCCAGUGAUGUCAUGUGAGGUCCUGUACCCCAGUGAUGUCAUGUGAGGUCCUACCUUGGGAUGUGGUGGGAAGGGAACUUUACCUCUAAGUCAUUCUUCCUCUACACUCCCAACUCUAGGCUAACUAUGUAAAAAAAACCUCUGACAGCCCCAGACAAGGACACUCUACAAGGUACCUGGCCAGUAUACUUCAUCUUUAUCAAGGUCAUGAAAGACUACUGAGAAGUUGUCAUGAAUCAGAGGAGCCAGGGGAAGCAGGACAACUUAAUGCAGUGUGAAACCCUGUAUCGGAACCCUGUAUCGGAAGGGACCAGAGGAUGAGAAAGAGGACAUUAGUGAGAAAAUCAAUCAAAUCUAAGUAAAGCCUGGAGUUUAGUUAAUGGUGCAGGUUCAGCCUCCUGAAUAGAAAAUAUAAAAUCCAAAAAUGCUCCAGAUUUUGAAGUUUGUGAACACUUGAAAAAUUUUAGAAAUCUGGAGAGAUGCCUCAGUUGUUGAGUGAUCUUCUAGAGGACCCAGGUUCAAUUCCCAUAACCCACACAGUGGCUGACAACCAUCUCUAACUCCCGUUACAGGGAAUCUACUGCCUUCUUCUGGUCUCUGAGGGCAUGAGGCACACAUGUGGUACACAGAUACACAGGCAGGCAGAACGCCAUACACAUAAAGUAAUAAAAGUUUAGAGAACAAGUUUUAGGUUUAUGUGUAUGUGCUGAUCUUCAUGUGUGUGCACACACCUGGAGGCCGAGGCCAACAUCCGGUGUCAUGCCUCAGGUGCCAAACACUUUGCUUUUUGAGACUGAGUCCCUCAUUGACCUGGAGCUCAAACAGCAGGCUGGUCUGGCUGGCUAGCAAGCCUCGGGAAUCCAUCCAUUUGUCUCCAGCUCCCUAAGUGCCGGGAUUCAAGCACAUGCCAUAACUCCUGGCUCUUUUACAUGGGCUCUGAGGAUCAAGUUCAUGUCCACAUGCCUGCAUGGGAAGUAUUUUACAGACUGAAUUAUCACCCCAGAUCCAAAGUUUUAGAUUUGGGAGUACUGAAGUCUAUAAAUAUGCCAAAAUUGGAGCUGGAAAGAUGAUUCAGCCAUUAAGAACAUGUACACUGCACCUGCAGAGGAUCUGAGUUCAGUUCACUGCAUCCACAUCUAACAGUUUAAGACUGCUUGUAACUCCAGCUCCAGGGAAUCUAGUGCCCUCUUCUGGCAUCCAAGGGUAUGUGCACUCACACGCAACCCUCCCUACUCCCACACGCAUAGACACAUUUUUAAAAAUUACUCAGAAAUAUUCUGAAACAUGGGUGCUGAAGAGAUAGCUCAGUAAGUAAAAGCAUACACUGCUCUUCCAGAGGACCAGAGUUCAAUUCCCAGUACACAUAUCAGGUGGCUCACAAACACUUGUAACUCCAGCGCCAGGAGGGAUCCAUAACUCUGGCUUCUGCAGGCACCUGUGCUUACACACAAUUAAAUGAUUAAAAAAGAAAGAAAGAAAUUAUUCAGAAACACAAACCAUUUCUGGUGUAAGCAUUUCUAUUAAGAGAUACUCAGCCACUGGGCAGUGAUGGCACAUGCCUUUAAUCCCAGCACUUGUUAUAAGAACUAGCAAGACAAGCCUAAACUAAGGCCGAGCAUUCAUAAUUGUUAAUAAGUCUCCUUGUCUUGAUUUGGGAGCUGGUUGGUAAUCCAAAAAAGCCUGCUACAGGAAAAGCUUGCACAUUUGCCAUAAAAAGUUUGGUUUCUGCAAUGGUUAAUUUUAUGUUCAAUUUGACAAGGUUCAUACAGACUCAGAUAUAUCUUCAAACAUCAUUCCAGAUGUUUCUGUGACUUUUUUGCUUUUUUUUUUAUAUUGCCUAUCCAUUAACUAGUUAGUUAGCUAACUAGUAAAUUAUAUGGUUGCAGAAUCUCACUAAAUAGCCUAGGCUAGCCUCAAACUUAUUUGUACCCCAGGCUCUCUUAAACUCAAGAUCCUUCUGCUUCAGUUUCCAAGUUCUGAGAUCAUGCCCCCAUGCCCACCUGAGGUCAUUUCUUGAGAUGAGAUUAGUAUGUAGUUUAGUACCCCUUUCCCUCCAUCUUGUAUAUGGGUUUCAGAUGAAAGCAUUAAUAGAAAAAGACUAUUUCAUGAGGAAAGAAUUACACUAGCAAAGGAACUCAGCACAAAACCCUUAGUGGGUCUCCAGCUUGCCCUGAAGAUUGGAGAGCUGAACCCUCCCUCACUUUUCGGCUCCCUCCCUCAUACCCUGCUGAUUCUGUUCUUCUAGGGAACCCUGCUACUACAGUCCCUUAGACCAAAGCUGGAGCAUUAGUGGGAAUUAAGAGGAUUAUACUAGGGACACCCUCUGGGCAGCCAUCUCCACCAACUCUUUCAUAAGACAGCAGUCUAGGAGAAAAUCCUUGGUAUCACAAAGGUGUAACAAAGGGCCCGGCCCUCCCCAGUCACUAAGACACACCCUUGAGUGACUCAUCCCCACCUCUCUGAGCUUUGCCCUCUUUCUGGAAACCAAGAAAGCUGAGCAGGUCAUAGACUGAGAACAUAUCCCAUCAGCCCAAAGUAGACACCCACAGCAGAUGCCACAGUUUUCCUGCUCAGGCAGCUGGUGACUGUUCUAAAUAUAUACCCCAGGCCGACCUGACCGAUCAGUCUAUUUUGUUUCAUGAAACAAAGCCAAUUUGCAAGCUGAACAUGGUGGUAUAUGCCUGUAAUCCCAACACCUGGGUGGUUGUUACAAAAGGAUUAUAAUGAGUUUAUGGCCAGCCAGCCUAAGCUACAUAGUGAGUUGGAGGCCAGCCUGGCCUACAAUGCCAAAUCCCACCUCACGGAAAAAAAAAAAAAAAAAAGCUAAUUUGCAGGCCCAAAGUUCCCUGGCUUCUAAAGAACCCCACCAGCUAAAAUGAAAUGAAGCUAGUAGAGCCAGUGAGCGAUAGGCAGUGGAUUUUCAUCAUGGACGAAACCAACCCCUGGGUUGGCAGCGACUGAGCAAAUCAGUUCUGGGAGCAGGGAGUGGGCAGAGGCUUCAUGUAUGCAGCCCUGGUCCCUCUAUGCUCUCUUCCUACAUGGUUUCUCCUCCAGAUGUCGGUUUCGUCCCCACUCUGUUUGCAGCUUCCGGUCUGAACUGAUGUGAGGGCCCCUCUCAUGGUGGUGUUUACCUCAGCCAGGCUGACGGAGAUGAUGAACAGCGGUGGCGGAAGGCAGUUGGCUCUCUCCAAGAACCAGAAAAAUAAGGAAGACCUGUGUUCUGAUUAGAUUUUCUGUCAUCUCGACACAAAUUGGAGGGGAAGAGGAACUUCAACUGAGAAAAUGCCUCCACCAGGUCACUGCCUUGAGUUCCUGUCCUGACUUCCCUUCACGAUGGCCUGUGAACUGUAAGCUGAAAUAAACCCAUGCCUCCCCAAUUUGCUUUUGGUCGUGGAGUUUUAUCACAGAAAUAGAAACCUAAGGUAUGAUCUCAGAUUUUUCUCUUCCUUCAGAUUUUAAAAUGUCCAGAAGUUCUAUGACUUCAAGCUCACCAUGUUAGGUAUGCAAAUGCCUGUACACACGUCCUGUGGUGAAAAGAUACCAGGACCACUUGGAGGAGCCAAGACUGCGCAUGUCUGUGGUCUUCCCGGGCGUCGCAAUGAGAAUGAGACCUGAUACAGAGUCCUAGCCACUUGGGGCUGUAACAACAGACCGGCCGUAAGAAGUCAUUUGUUUUCACCUCUCUUCAGUGGCUAUCCUGCUUGGACCUCCCUACCUGUCCGUCCCUCCCUGAUUCAUCCUAUCCCCAACACGUGGGCCUGUGACACUCACAGGGGUCCCUUCCAAAUCUCGGCCAGCCUCCCAGUCCUCCUAUUCCUUUUGAUCUCUCCCACGCCAGGAUUUCUGAGUGAAGUGAAGUACCUUGGAAAUAUUAGCAAGCAUAUUGUGAAAAAGACUGAUAACGGGAGCAGUACGUGAGGCGCAAGUUGACGCAGCCUUUGGAAGGUGUCAGGUGGCCUCUCCGAAUCGAGAUGGUUUAAUAGGUAAAGGUGCAGGGAUUACAGGUUCCUGCCACCACAGCUGCCUGGAAAGCACCUGUUAGAUAAGCAACAUGACAUUUCCAGAGGCCUAAGGGAAAUGCAGCAUGGCGGUCAAGGCAAAGCCGGUGGCAAUGAUCACAGCCCACUGUCGUCUGUCUGUAUGGUGAUAUUUUAUUUGUAUUAAAAUGUUAUUUGUAUGUUAAAAAAUAAAGUUGCCCGGGGGUCAGAGCUAUUAGCAAGCCAUAGAAAAGCAGGGCAGUGGUGGCAUACGCUUGUAAUCCCAGCAUUUGGUAGGCAGAGCUGGGUAAGUCUCUGUGUGUUCAGGGAUACAGCCAUUAUUGGAUACACAUGCCUUUAAUUUUAAUACCAAUCAUGGAAAACCUGGAGGCCUAUACAGACAGGCCGUGAGGAGGCGGUCAUGUGGUUGAGUUUACAACCAAUGAGAAGGCAGGACAGGAACUCUAUAUAAAGACUUUAACACAGGGGUAGCUCUGGUUCGGAGAGGUAGGACCACCGCAGGAGGAAGGGUAAGGUUUUAGCUCUUAGCUCUGACCUCUUGGCUUUCUUCUUUGUAUUGGUUCUGUGUUUCUUAUUUAAUAAGAAGGUUGGUUACAUCUACAUUUGGCGCCCAACGUGGGGCAAGAGUUUCCACCUAAAAACUGAGAAAAACAAUUCUAAAAUGGAGCUAAAAACAGUUCCUAAUUGUCUCUCUCAAAUGAACAGCAGCUGCUGGUUGGAGCUACUGGUGGGUUCCUAGCGUGUGCGCUCGACCUGCAGUAUGGCGGGAAUGAGGCCUCUGCAAGUGGCACAUUAAGCUGCAUGGUGGAUUUAGUCUUUACUAGUACAAAACAUAAAAAGAGGUUUCUGGGCUACACGCUGCUUGGAUAAAAGCAUAGACCCAUGAUAGCUCCCAGAGCUGACAGUAAACUACCACCUCCAUGUUGGGAAGCUGCGGAGCCAGCAGCCACAGCUGCUGCAGUUUAAAGCAAUAGAUUCAUAACAAGACAGAUUCAGAUGUAAUAGUUUAAAAUGUGUGUAAAAGAUACGUAGGCUUGAAAGAGACAAAAAGGUGAUAUAUACAGUUAUAUAAACAAAUACAUAGUUUAAAAAAAUAAAGUCUUUAAAGAAACAGUAAAAUUAAUAUAAAAAAUAAGCCACGUAAAGAUGAAUAUUACACAGAGAAUCUGGAUUGUGUUGUUUUUGGGAUUUUUAACUGCAGAAAAACAUUUGUUGAGUUAUGCCAAAAUGUAUAUUUUAAAGGUACCUUGACUUCAAAAUUUGGAUAUAAAGAUGUGUUGCUUUGGAAAGGAGACUCUGCUUUUGUUCCCACAGAAAGCCAAAGGCUAUGGAUUUGUUCCAGAUUAAGAUACAUUAGGUUUGACCAGCCAAGACCCCCUGAAAGGUCUCCGAUGACACCAUGGCCCAGACGAUCCAACAUCCAGAAUGGUUUGAAGGCAACUGGCUCAGAUGGUACACCCUCAUGGACUAUUCCAUAAUUCUAAAAUUUUCUUUGUGUCCCCAUAAGACACAGCACCCCCCUCCAGCAGGAAGUUGUAAGAGAGAAGCUACGCCCAAAUUCCCAAAUUAUAUGUAAUUUUACUUUGUUAAGGUUAAAACCUUCCUUUUUGAAAAAAAAAAGAAAAGGGGAAGUGCUGUGGGAUGGUCUGUAUGUCAAGUGUGUUGCUGAUUGGUCCAUAAAUAAAUCACUGAUUGGCCAGUGGCCAGGCAGGAAGUAUAGGCGGGACAAGGAGGAGAAUAAAGCUGGGAAGUGGAAGGCUGAGUCAGAGAGACACUGCCAGCCGCCACGAUGACAAACAGCAUGUGAAGAUGCCGGUAAGCCACGAGCCAAGUGGCAAGGUAUAGAUUUAUAGAAAUGGAUCAAUUUAAGCUAUAAGAACAGUUAGCAAGAAGCCUACCACGGCCAUACAGUUUGUAACCAAUAUAAGUCUCUGUGUUUACUUGGUUGGGUCUGAGCGGCUGUGGGACUGGCAGGUGAGAGAGAUUUGUCCUGACUGUGGGCCAAGCAGGAAAACUCUAGCUACAGUCUGAGAUACAAAUGCACCCACAGCUAUCCCGUGCCUGCUCGGUCACUCCGUCACUGUGUCACAUGAGUGCAUAUUUACUCCUCUGACCGCUGCAUUAGUCAUUAAGCAAAGAUCACGAGGCUUCCUGGCAUUUUCUUUAAUGUGCUGCCAGUUUCUGCUGCCUAUUCUUUGUUGAAACACACACACACACACACACACACACACACACACACACACACACACACACUCACAGACCAAAACUGGAUGUGAAAUGGUCUCACCCUGCCCAGGGGAACAACUGGGUGGUCAGUUAGGAUGUCUCUAGCCUUCUGGUUUACAAUGGAGAUGUUCUCCUGAGAACCAAGAGCCGGAAUCCUUCUCCCCCACCACACACACACACCCCAGGGGGGACGGGGUGGGUUAGCAGAUACCCUGGUUUGGUUUUGUGAUACAAAAUUUCACUCUAUAGUCCCAGCCUUGACUCUACAGUCCUGCCUCAGCUUUCUAAAUACUGGGACCAUAGGCAUACCCCAGCAGGCCCAGCUAGCAAGAAGUCUUUAAUAAAAAUCCAAGCACAGUUGGUAGCAGACACCUUUAAUCCCAGCUCUCUGGAGCUGACACAGGAGGAUUGAAAGCUUCAGAGCAGCCUAGUCCACAUAGCAGGACGCAGUCUCAGAAACAAACAAAGAACCAGCAAGAUGGCUCCUUCCGUAAAAGCACAAUCAGGGCAAGCCUGACAAUGGGAGGUUGAUUCCUGGAACCUCUCCCUUAAAAUAGAUGAAUGAAUGGAUGAAUGAAUGAAUGAAUGAAUGAUUGAAUGAAUGAGAGGUAGAAGCAGAAGAGAAAAAAGAAACUUGAGUCAGAUAUGGUCUAGGCACUUAGGAGGCUGAGGCAGGAGGAUUGCAACUUCAAGGCCUGGGAUAUGCAUUAGCAAGACUGUCUCAAGGGCAAAACAACAUUUAACAAAAGAAUUCAAAUAUAGGAAGCACUUUCUUCCUUUGGGACCUCACGUGGUCCACGCCCUGGAAAAGGUAGGAUUCUGCGAUCAAAGCAGCUGCCUACAUUAAAAAUAAAUAGAUCAGGACUGGAGAAAGAUGGCUCAGUGGCUAAGAGCAUUAGCUGCUCUUCCAAAGGACCGAGGUUUGAAUCCCAGCAGCAUCCACGUGAAGGCUCACAGCAUCUGGAGCUCCAGUUCCAGGGAUCCUACAGCUUCUCGUGUGUUCUGUGGGCAGCACCACACACAAGUGGUGCACAGAUAUAUAUGCGGGCAAAACACCCAUACACGUAGAAUAAAAUAGUAAGAUUUUAAAAAAAUCAGUAGGGCUCCUUGGAUAAAAGGUAUCUGCUGCCAAGCCUGAAGAACUGGGUUCAAUCCUUGGGACCCACGGGGUGGCAAUUGAGAACCAACUCUAAGUUGUCCUCUGACCUCCAAACAUACGUAUACACACACACACACACACACACACACACACACACACACACACACACACACACGUGGUGGUAUUGUGUUCCCCAAAAUAUUGUGAACCCUAAUAAAUUUAUCUGGGGUCAGAGAACAGACAGCCACUAGAUACAAAGGCUAGAAAAUGGUGGCACUCACACCUUUAAUCCUAGCAUUCCGAAGACAGAAAUCCUUCUGGAUCUCUGUGGGUUCAAGGCCACAUUGGAAAAGGCCAGGCAUGGUGACACACGCCUUUAAUCCCAGAAAGCGAGCCUUUAAUCCCAGGGAGUAGUGGUAGGAAGCAGAAUGGUAUAUAAGGUGUGAGGACUAGAAACUAGAAGCAUUUGGCUGGUUAAGCUUUCAGGCUUUGGAGCAACACAGUUCAGCUGAGAUUCGUUCUGGAUGAGGACUCAGAGGCUUCCAGUCUGAGGAAACAGGACCAGCUGAGGAAUUGGCAAGGUGAGAUAGCUGUGGCUUGUUCUGUCUCUCUGAUCUACCAGCAUUUCACCCCAAUACUUAGCUCCGGGUUUGAUUUUAUUAAUAAGAACUUUUUUUUAAAAGUUUUUAUUUAUUUAUUAUGUAUACAAUGCUCUGCCUGCAUGUAUGCCUGCAGGCCAGAAGAGGGCACCAGAUCUCAUUACAGAUGGUUGUGAGCCACCAUGUGGUUGCUGGGAAUUGAACUCAGGUCCUCUGGAAGAGCAGUGAGUGCUCU
Molecule: long non-coding RNA, 9526 nt
Organism: Peromyscus californicus insignis
Lineage: Eukaryota; Metazoa; Chordata; Mammalia; Rodentia; Cricetidae
Exons: 9
Source: RefSeq, a predicted model, not a curated record